This 241-nucleotide ribosomal RNA is filed under the name uncultured Bacteroidota bacterium. Its description in RNAcentral is "uncultured Bacteroidetes bacterium partial 16S ribosomal RNA". It matches the Rfam family "Bacterial small subunit ribosomal RNA", at positions 796 to 1041 of the family's 1533-position model. The record is from RNAcentral. Lineage: Bacteria; Pseudomonadati; Bacteroidota.
CACGCUGUAAACGAUGAUAACUUGUUGUUGGGCACGUAGUGCUCAGUGGCUAAGCGAAAGCGAUAAGUUAUCCACCUGGGGAGUACGAUCGCAAGGUUGAAACUCAAAGGAAUUGACGGGGGCCCGCACAAGCGGAGGAGCAUGUGGUUUAAUUCGAUGAUACGCGAGGAACCUUACCCGGGCUCGAACGUAUAUUGAAUAAUGUGGAAACAUGUUAGUCGUAAGACAAUAUACGAGGUGC